UAGUUACAAAAAGAAAGGAGGUGCCAACUACUGAAAAAACCGAAAGCACUUCAAAUGCGAUUGCAAGGCACCGAUGGACCGAAAAGGACAAACAAACUAUGCUUAAAUACUUUACAAGAUUCAUAAAAGAAAAAAGGGUUCCGAAAAAAGCAGACGUACAGGAAUUUAAAAAAAAAUAAAGCUGGAGAAAACUUUAAAUCAAUUGAUUGGGUAAAAAUUAAAACGUUUGUUUACAAUUCUUAGUGUAGUUUUUGUGAAGCUUUUUAUUAAAUAAAGUGUUUCUAAACA
This is a long non-coding RNA of Diabrotica virgifera virgifera (western corn rootworm), 288 nucleotides long. RefSeq lists it as uncharacterized. The transcript is spliced from 2 exons. The record is from RefSeq and is a predicted model, not a curated record. Lineage: Eukaryota; Metazoa; Arthropoda; Insecta; Coleoptera; Chrysomelidae.